AGACCCGAAACCCGGUGAUCUAGCCAUGGGCAGGUUGAAGGUUGGGUAACACUAACUGGAGGACCGAACCGACUAAUGUUGAAAAAUUAGCGGAUGACCUGUGGCUGGGGGUGAAAGGCCAAUCAAACCGGGAGAUAGCUGGUUCUCCCCGAAAGCUAUUUAGGUAGCGCCUCGUGAAUUCAUCUCCGGGGGUAGAGCACUGUUUCGGCUAGGGGGCCAUCCCGGCUUACCAACCCGAUGCAAACUGCGAAUACCGGAGAAUGUUAUCACGGGAGACACACGGCGGGUGCUAACGUCCGUCGUGAAGAGGGAAACAACCCAGACCGCCAGCUAAGGUCCCAAAGUCAUGGUUAAGUGGGAAACGAUGUGGGAAGGCCCAGACAGCCAGGAUGUUGGCUUAGAAGCAGCCAUCAUUUAAAGAAAGCGUAAUAGCUCACUGGUCGAGUCGGCCUGCGCGGAAGAUGUAACGGGGCUAAACCAUGCACCGAAGCUGCGGCAGCGAACGUAUCACCCAAGACAACUUUACGGAGUUGACGAUUGACGGAGCGAAGCGACGUCAAAGCGUUCAUUAAAGUCGAGUUGGCUUAGGGAUACGUUCGUUGGGUAGGGGAGCGUUCUGUAAGCCUGUGAAGGUGUGUCGUGAGGCAUGCUGGAGGUAUCAGAAGUGCGAAUGCUGACAUAAGUAACGAUAAAGCGGGUGAAAAGCCCGCUCGCCGGAAGACCAAGGGUUCCUGUCCAACGUUAAUCGGGGCAGGGUGAGUCGACCCCUAAGGCGAGGCCGAAAGGCGUAGUCGAUGGGAAACGGGUUAAUAUUCCCGUACUUGGUGUUACUGCGAAGGGGGGACGGAGAAGGCUAUGUUGGCCGGGCGACGGUUGUCCCGGUUUAAGCGUGUAGGUGUGUGUUCCAGGUAAAUCCGGUUCACUUUAACACUGAGGCGUGACGACGAGGCACUACGGUGCUGAAGCAACAAAUGCCCUGCUUCCAGGAAAAGCCUCUAAGCAUCAGGUAACACGAAAUCGUAC
Molecule: ribosomal RNA, 1023 nt
Filed under: Salmonella enterica
Lineage: Bacteria; Pseudomonadati; Pseudomonadota; Gammaproteobacteria; Enterobacterales; Enterobacteriaceae
Also listed under: 1 other name
Description: partial 23S ribosomal RNA
Rfam family: Bacterial large subunit ribosomal RNA
Source: RNAcentral